UACGGAUGAUCCAAGCGUUAUCCGGAAUCAUUGGGUUUAAAGGGUCCGUAGGCGGUUUAAUAAGUCAGUGGUGAAAGCCCAUCGCUCAACGGUGGAACGGCCAUUGAUACUGUUAAACUUGAAUUAUUAGGAAGUAACUAGAAUAUGUAGUGUAGCGGUGAAAUGCUUAGAGAUUACAUGGAAUACCAAUUGCGAAGGCAGGUUACUACUAAUGGAUUGACGCUGAUGGACGAAAGCGUGGGUAGCGAACAGG
This 253-nucleotide ribosomal RNA is filed under the name uncultured bacterium. Its description in RNAcentral is "partial 16S ribosomal RNA". It matches the Rfam family "Bacterial small subunit ribosomal RNA", at positions 524 to 776 of the family's 1533-position model. The record is from RNAcentral.